RNAcentral lists this ribosomal RNA (460 nucleotides) under uncultured bacterium. RNAcentral's name for it is "partial 16S ribosomal RNA". It matches the Rfam family "Bacterial small subunit ribosomal RNA", at positions 338 to 795 of the family's 1533-position model. The record is from RNAcentral.
CCUACGGGAGGCAGCAGUGAGGAAUAUUGGUCAAUGGCCGGAAGGCUGAACCAGCCAUGCCGCGUGAAGGUCAGUGCCCUAUGGGCGUUAAACUUCUUUUGUGCGGGAGCAAUAAUGGUCACGUGUGGCCAGACGAGAGUACCGUACGAAUAAGCAUCGGCUAACUCCGUGCCAGCAGCCGCGGUAAUACGGGGGAUGCAAGCGUUAUCCGGAUUUAUUGGGUUUAAAGGGUGCGUAGGCUGUGAGGUAAGUCAGCGGUGAAAUGCCCCCGCUCAACGGGGUGAAGUGCCAUUGAUACUGCCUGGCUGGAAUGGGGAUGCGGUGGGAGGAAGGUGUGGUGUAGCGGUGAAAUGCAUAGAGAUAACACAGAACACCGAUUGCGAAGGCAUCUCACGAAUCCGCGAUUGACGCUGAUGCACGAAAGCGUGGGUAUCAAACAGGAUUAGAUACCCUUGUAGUC